AGAGAGCUGUAAGUGGAGAGGGCUGUGCCCCAAGUAAAAGAGCUGUAAGUAAAGAGCUGUGCCCCAAGUAAAAAAGCUGUAAGUAAAAAGCUAUGAAGGAAGCUGCAAGUAAAGCGGAAGCUGCAUGAACCCAUCUUGGUGUCUGUGUCGUUCCUGUCUCCAAGGGCGGCAAGGACUGCGGAGACUGCGACAAGUGUUGGCCCGUACGGGGAACUCAUAAUUUUGGUAAGCAGCGGUAACUAAAGAAAGCAUAGGCCUGAUAGGUUCCCCGGAAAAAAAAGGGGACGAAGCAUUAAGGUUCUCAGAUAUAGAGACGAAGGUAAGGUUCCUGGGAAAAAAGGGGACGAAGCACUAAGGUUCUCAGGAAUAGAGACGAAGGGAAUUUCAGCAACAUGGGUUCAACUGCGACUAAAAUAAAAGUAAAAAUGUUAGCCAUCUGGAUCUUAGUUGGGGCGUGCUUGGGGGACGCCAGUGGAUAGUACAGUGCUGAAAUAGAGGAAGGAGCAGUGGUGCUUGAGGAAGCUAAGGAGAUUGCUUCUCAGGCUAGCUGCUGAAAACUUAAACAGCUUAGACAACAAGCCAAAGAUAAGAAAGAGAAGAAGAAAUCUCGCUCUGAAGGGUCUGCUAGUGACAGCGAUGGGACUGAUGGUGACAGUGACAUCUGUAGUCGGAUGUUCCGCUGGAGUUUGAGACGUGGUAGGCCACCCGAGCCAUCAGCCCCUCUGUUGCCUUCUCCUCCCCCCUAUAAAGAUGAGGGAGACAAAGGGGGAAAGCGUAAUCUUCAUGAAAAGUCUGGAAAAAUGUGCCCACUGUUGCGGGGGCCUUCCCAGUAUUUCAGGACCAACAGGGGCAACGGAAUCAUGAACCUCUGGAGUGGAAGGUUAUACAAAGAUUGAAGGAGUCGGUUUCUACUUAUGGGGUCCAGGCUGCCUUUGCCGUAACUCAGGUUGAGUCCCGCGUAGCCCAGCUAAUUCUUAAGGGUAUAAAGGUGGGACUAGGAGCUUUUGGUAAACAACCUGAUGUAAAACGGAUUGAGGUACUUACCUCCACUAAUUGGCUUCAGUUUGUCAUGACCCGGACUGAGCCAAUCCCAGGUGCUGUUAAUGUAUUUGCUGAUGGAUCCAAAGGCGGUGUGGGAGUAGUUUAUGUUGAAGGAAAUCAACCCCAAGCUCAUGUAUUUCCCUAUCAAUCUGUACAAGGUGUUGUUGGAGCAGUUAGUAUUUUCAUUAUUCAUAUGUCAGAAAUGUGUGUAACCUCUGUUCAGUAUCAGAAUUUUUCCAGAGCUGCAAAUCUGUCGCAUGCAAUUGGUGCGAUGCUGCUAGGAAAUUGGAGUCAUGAUCUCAACACAAAGAAGGAAUUGCAAGCAUCAAUUGUUGCCGUGAACAACACUCGUGUGGAAAUUUCAACUGCAAAGCAAUGGCUGGAGAUCAUGCAGGGAACUGUGGAAUUCUUAAAAAAUUGGGGAGGGAUAGCCUUUUGAGCGCUCCUGCUGACUGUUGUGUGUGGAGGAAUGCUUUGGUGGAUGGCACAUAUGUGAAGGCAGCACAGGGCUGAUAAAUGAGCCUUAGUGCAGGCUAUGGCAGCCUUAGAAGCUGGAACACCCCCCCCCAUGUUGGCUCAACAUGCUGGAUUAGUAAUCAAUGAUGGGUAAGACCCUCACGUGUGCAUACCAACCUAAGACAGGAUGGCGAAAGUGAGUUCCUCACUCCCAUGAUGGGUAAGGAUGUGGCACAGAUGGGGGCAACCUAAGACAAAUGUUGAUCCCAGGGCUACUAAUAAAACUAAAAUGGGGAGAUGCAGGAAGCAGUUGCAGCCGCAUGGGCCAAGAUGGCGCCCUGGCCCAUUGCCAGGCCCAGUGAAACCCACAUGUUUACUGCCUUGCCCGAACAUGCGCAGUGAAACUGCAUGUGUAAGCUGCCUGCCAAGUUGGAUCUGUCAGCCUAUCUGUGACCGAUCUGAGCUUGUGCCUGGAGCGUGUGUGAUUCUGAUUGGAUGAGGUGGUGUGGAGGGAGAUGAGGUCAGUUGCCACUACUGUAUAAAUAUAGCCCUUGCCCUGAGGGGAAGAGAGCUGUAAGUGGAGAGAGCUGUGCCCCAAGUAAAAGAGCUGUAAGUAAAGAGUUGUGCCCCAAGUAAAAGAGCUGUAAGUAAAGAGCUGUGCCCCAAGUAAAAGAGCUGUAAGUAAAGAGCUGUGCCCCAAGUAAGAGAGCUGUAAGAAAAGAGCUGUGCCCCAAGUAAAAAAGCUGUAAGUAAAAAGCUGUGGAGGAAGCUGCAAGUAAAGCGGAAGCUGCAUGAACCCAU
RNAcentral lists this long non-coding RNA (2298 nucleotides) under Mus musculus (house mouse). RNAcentral describes it as "predicted gene, 56810". Lineage: Eukaryota; Metazoa; Chordata; Mammalia; Rodentia; Muridae. The record is from RNAcentral.